AUCUGCCAAAUAAAUUUGGAAUCUAGUUCCAGUUACAAUUGAAUUGAUCUUACCAAAAUUCUGAAUGCUCCUUAGAAUUUUAUUACAAAUUUUGGGACUUCCUGUGUUGAAUUGAUAAUGAUUAUAAUCAAUCAAACAUUUGCCACCAUGCAUGGUUUUGGAUCUAUUACUCCAUUUGAAAUGGAAUGACAAAAUUUUUGAAAUCUCAUUAGCAUUUAAAACCUUACGAGGUUUGUACAGAAUAUUGCUCCGAGUAUGAUGUAGGUGGUAAUUUACUUUUGAGAGGCCUCCUACGGGGAUAUUCCUGUUAAAUUAGGUUCUGAGAAUACAUAACAGUGAGACCGCAGAAGCUGAUGGAUCGGCUGAGAUCCCAUGGAGGAAGAUACAUUGCUCUUCAUCUGAGAUAUGAGAAAGACAUGUUAUCUUUCACUGGCUGUACUCAUGGUCUUACUGAUGCAGAAUCUGAAGAGCUAAGAAUAAUGAGGCUAUAUGUUGACAAGUGGCAAAACUUCCUGCCUCUGCAUUGGAUGUAAUGUACCUCCACUAGAAGAUGAAGAAGAUAAAUUCAACAGAACAGAGAAAAGGAGGCUUUUGUCCAUUAACCCCCUGAAGAGGUGGGAAUAUUUCUUCAAGCUCUCGGUUACCCUCCAUCAACAUUGAUUUAUAUUGCUGCUAGGGAUAGUUUGUGAUGUUCUAGGCUAAAUUCAAUGAUGACACCUACUUUCCUAUUUUCAUUGAGUAUUGCUGCCUGAAUUCUGAAAAAAUCCACUGAAGUAACAUUUGAUUUUAAUUGAUGUAUUUAAAGUCUGAACAUGAAUUGUUUCUAUUCUUGAGUGUGCAAUGUAUUGUUUCUUAUUUUUAAUUUUG
This is a long non-coding RNA of Camellia sinensis, 867 nucleotides long. RefSeq lists it as uncharacterized. Lineage: Eukaryota; Viridiplantae; Streptophyta; Magnoliopsida; Ericales; Theaceae. The record is from RefSeq and is a predicted model, not a curated record.